GAUAAACGCUGGCGGCAUGCCUUACACAUGCAAGUCGAACGGUAACAGGUCUUCGGACGCUGACGAGUGGCGAACGGGUGAGUAAUGCAUCGGAACGUGCCCAGUCGUGGGGGAUAACUGCUCGAAAGAGCAGCUAAUACCGCAUACGACCUGAGGGUGAAAGCGGGGGACCGUAAGGCCUCGCGCGAUUGGAGCGGCCGAUGUCAGAUUAGCUAGUUGGUGGGGUAAAGGCCUACCAAGGCAACGAUCUGUAGUUGGUCUGAGAGGACGACCAGCCACACUGGGACUGAGACACGGCCCAGACUCCUACGGGAGGCAGCAGUGGGGAAUUUUGGACAAUGGGCGCAAGCCUGGUCCAGCAAUGCCGCGUGCAGGAAGAAGGCCUUCGGGUUGUAAACUGCUUUUGUCAGGGAAGAAAUCUUCUGGGCUAAUACCCCGGGAGGAUGACGGUACCUGAAGAAUAAGCACCGGCUAACUACGUGCCAGCCGCCGCCGUAA
Molecule: ribosomal RNA, 498 nt
Filed under: uncultured bacterium
Lineage: Bacteria
Description: partial 16S ribosomal RNA
Rfam family: Bacterial small subunit ribosomal RNA
Source: RNAcentral